Molecule: long non-coding RNA, 589 nt
Filed under: Capsella rubella
Lineage: Eukaryota; Viridiplantae; Streptophyta; Magnoliopsida; Brassicales; Brassicaceae
Description: long non-coding RNA (CRUB_LNC003415)
Source: RNAcentral
CCGGAUAGUGUAGUGUGAAAGAGAAAGCAGGAAAAGUAAAAUAAAAGAUAGAAAGCGAAAUUACAAUGGUCAAUAUCUUUUUAUUGGAGAAAUAUGUAGGUAGACGAAACAACGUACGUACGUGGAAAUGCGAAGAGUUCGUUAAAUUAUGAGAAGAACACGCAAAGUCUUUACACUUUUGGCAGCUCCUCCGACGUGAUCAAGCCGCAAAAGUAUUUUACGUUACUUUUUUUUCUUCUUUCUGAAAUCUUACUUUAAAAGAAAAUUUGUUAACGAAAUAAAAGUAAUGUGGAUAAAAGUAAUAUAUCACAAAGACGGUUUAAUUAGACUGUUAGUGAAAUUAUUUUACUAAUGAAUAUUAAUCCUGAAAAUGUUCUUGUAUCUGAUCCACAUCAUAUCACAUGAAAGAAAGAUAGAGUUGAAUUCCUCAUACCUAAGGGCUAAGGUGGUAGCAGCCAAAUGGCUUAAGCCACUUGCUUUAUAUAGGUUCUUAUAACAAUAUUGGGGAUUCAAAUUGGUAACUUAAGAAAACGCCGAAUGUUAAUAAUGGUCACUGCUCACGUUGGCUAUGCUGCCUAUGCACAAGAUC